CAGCAGCCGCGGGAAUACGUAAGUCCCGAGCGUUGUCCGGAUUUAUUGGGCGUAAAGCGAGCGCAGGCGGUUAGAUAAGUCUGAAGUUAAAGGCUGUGGCUUAACCAUAGUACGCUUUGGAAACUGUUUAACUUGAGUGCAAGAGGGGAGAGUGGAGUUCCAUGUGUAGCGGUGAAAUGCGUAGAUAUAUGGAGGAACACCGGUGGCGAAAGCGGCUCUCUGGCUUGUAACUGACGCUGAGGCUCGAAAGCGUGGGGAGCAAACAGGAUUAGAUACCCCUGUAGUCCCUGUCUCUUAUACA
This 301-nucleotide ribosomal RNA is filed under the name uncultured bacterium. Its description in RNAcentral is "partial 16S ribosomal RNA". It matches the Rfam family "Bacterial small subunit ribosomal RNA", at positions 509 to 808 of the family's 1533-position model. The record is from RNAcentral.